RNAcentral lists this ribosomal RNA (496 nucleotides) under uncultured bacterium. RNAcentral describes it as "partial 16S ribosomal RNA". It matches the Rfam family "Bacterial small subunit ribosomal RNA", at positions 30 to 523 of the family's 1533-position model. The record is from RNAcentral.
AUUGAACGCUGGCGGAAUGCUUUACACAUGCAAGUCGAACGGUAGAGGGGGCAACCCCUCGAGAGUGGCGAACGGGUGAGUAAUAUAUCGGAACGUGCCCAGUCGUGGGGGAUAACGUAGCGAAAGUUACGCUAAUACCGCAUACGAUCUAAGGAUGAAAGCGGGGGACCGUAAGGCCUCGCGCGAUCGGAGCGGCCGAUGUCAGAUUAGGUAGUUGGUGAGGUAAAGGCUCACCAAGCCUGCGAUCUGUAGCUGGUCUGAGAGGACGACCAGCCACACUGGGACUGAGACACGGCCCAGACUCCUACGGGAGGCAGCAGUGGGGAAUUUUGGACAAUGGGCGCAAGCCUGAUCCAGCCAUUCCGCGUGCAGGAUGAAGGCCCUCGGGUUGUAAACUGCUUUUGUACGGAACGAAACGCGCUGAGUUAAUACCUCGGCGUAAUGACGGUACCGUAAGAAUAAGCACCGGCUAACUACGUGCCAGCCGCCGCUGUAA